This 297-nucleotide signal recognition particle RNA is filed under the name Saimiri boliviensis boliviensis (Bolivian squirrel monkey). Its description in RNAcentral is "Metazoan signal recognition particle RNA (ENSSBOG00000005441.1)". It matches the Rfam family "Metazoan signal recognition particle RNA". Rfam says of the family: The signal recognition particle (SRP) is a universally conserved ribonucleoprotein. It is involved in the co-translational targeting of proteins to membranes. The record is from RNAcentral. Lineage: Eukaryota; Metazoa; Chordata; Mammalia; Primates; Cebidae.
GCCGGGCACGGUGGCCUGUGUCUGUAGUCCCAGCUACUCGGAGGCUGAGGUGGGAGGAUCGCUUGAGCCCAGGAGUUCUGGGCUGUAGUGUGCUAUGCCGAUAGGGUGUCUGCACUAAGUUCGGCAUCAAAAUGGUGACCUCCUGGGAGCAGGGGACCACCAGGUUGCCUAAGGAGUGAGAAACUGGCCCAGGUCAUAAACAGAGCAGGUCAAAACUCCCCUGCUGAUUAGUAGUGGGAUCUGUCUCUGAAUAGCCACGGCACUCCAGCCUGGGCAACAUAGUGAGACCCUGUCUCU